UGACGUGGGCGACGUGCGUAAAUACCAUUUACCGGGAUGUGAGAAUAUAUUUUUUUUUAAUGUGUCAUAAAUUAAUUACACAUAUAUGCUUCAAUCCAGUAAUAAUGUAAUUAAAAAUGCCAGUUUGCAUGAGAAAUAGAAAAAUGGCAAUAAUGUCAACGCCAAUGAGUGAGGACAGUGGUGUGCUAAGAGAAUGGGCUCCAUUAGCAACUCUUCUUCAAAGAUUACCAGCAAAAAUACAAAAUGGACUUUUCUCACAAAAUAUUAAUUUCACUUGCAUUGAUGUCCUGUCGGAAUUUAUAGCAAUUGGCACAAAUCACGGUCUUGUUUAUUGGUUCAAUCGCGAGAAUGGAGAAAUACAAAAACUUCGAUGUGAAAAUGUAAACACAGUGAUUACUUGUAUAAGAGUAAUUUCAACAGUCGAUUAUAUGGUUGCCGUGGGAAAUGAUCAAGGAAUAGUUACAGUUUUUCAAAUACCAAAACAACCUCCAGACUCAUUGCCAGAAAGUUUAAAACCAAAACAGAAGAAACAAGUCGAGAGGUAUAAUAUUGCCGGUUUACACAAAUCAACAGUCACGGCUGUUGAUUGGUCGAAAAAUGGCAUGAAACUAUUUAGUGGUGAUCAAGACGGUUUGGUCGUUUUUACAGAAAUCGAUUUUUAUAUGCAUUUAUCCAAGUCGUCGGAACUUUUAAACGAAAAGUAUUCAAUUGUACAGCUUAGUUAUCAACAAGGUUUACUAUUAGUGUCCACAUUAUUUCGGACAAUUCUCGUCAAUCUAAAUGAUAAAGGAAAAGUGAUGCAGGUGGGACAAAAGGAGCGUAAGAUAUUAGGUAAAUUAGGAGCAGUAUUUGGAAAUCGUAUUAGUCAUGUUCAGAAUCCGGUGAUUUAUGCGAGCAGACCUGGUUUAAGACUUUGGCAAGCUGAUAAAAAUGGAACUGUAUUAAAGACACUGAUGUUUAAAGAUGCAAUUAAAUUUGGCCAUUCGGAAGUUGAAUUACUGAAUCCAGCGCAGGAGAGUACAAGAAAAAGUAGAGGAGAGCCGACGUUUGGAAUUGUAUUGCCAUUCUCUGAUGAUUUAUUGGUCACUUAUAGUGAUGAUAUUAUUUAUGUUGUUAAUCCAAUAACUAUUAGUAUUACGGCCGCGAUAACUGACGUGAGACACGUUACUCACGUUGCGUGCACGAAAGACGAGAUCUUUAUCCUUGAAGGCAAAAGAAAUAUUAUUAGAGUUGCUUAUCAUCCUGAGAAUAAUUCUUACAUCUCCAAUACAGAUUCCAUGAUGGAUUCAAUAUCUCUUGCCCAAAUUAGUAAGCCGGUGACUACGGGAAUUUUGGAAUUGACUUCAAAACUUAAGGAAAGUUCAAUUGUUCCAGCAAUUCCAUUUCAUAAAAUUAAUCCAACGAAUAUUAUACAAGCAAUCGGUGUCCUGCCUUCUGUGACAAUAGGAACGGACACAACGUCAAUAGUAAAUGCGGAGGAAGCCUUAGAAAUACCGCCAAUUGUUCCUUUGGAACUCGAAACUCCCUUGGUGACUGACAAUGACUCAACGUUACGAGUCGGAAUAAUUGAAUCGUGUAAAUUGCCAACUCUCGAGGAAAAUGAAAAACGCAAUGAUCGUCGACGAAUAUUUGAAAAAAUUGCCGAACAAGAAUUCGAGGACGUUGUAUUUACUCCUGAACGUAGAAAUAGAAAAUCAUCAAACAAAACAAUUAACGGAAUUCAUAGCAAUGGAUUUGGUGAUGAUUCAUCGAAUUUUAAUCAUAAAUUUAAAUUAAAUAAUGGUGUGACGACUCAUUCUUCAUUACUUACAUUGAGUAUUGAUAACGAUAUGUUAUUAAAAUCAGAUAGAAAUUUAGAUUCUAUACAAAAGGAUGUGGAGAAUAAGGAGAAAUUAUUAGCUGAUGUUUUGAAUUUUGAUUUGUCUGAAUAUAUGACGAGUAGUCGAAUCUAUCCACCAGAUUCAAAUAUUUUAACAUCAAUUGACGCAAUUCCUUACGAUAAUUGUAGUAUUAAUGAAAGCGAAUAUAAUUCAGAAAUAAAAAACGAUAUUGAUGAUGAACAGGACGAAGUGACUGAUCGUACGGAAACUGAAUCUGUCGAGGAGGACGCAAGCUAUAAAACGGAAUUGAAGAAACUUGAAGAUUUGGGAGAGUGCAGUAAAAUACUCUUAAAGAACAAAUUGAGUGAAUUUCAAAAUAACAACGUCGAUAUUGGAGUUGAACCUCCAACUUCAAAUAUCAAUGUUGAUUCUGAACUUCAAUUUAAUGAUCUUUCAAGAGACUUUGUGUCGACGAUUGUUUACGAGGAGAAAAGAAAAGAUAAAGAUAAUGAAGACUGGGUGUUUGUCAGCUACCCUUGAAAAUAUUUUUCGGUUCCUUUGUAGUUCAAAUGGACAAUUUUGUAGACUGAUGGAUUCACGCGGAAGCAAGCGAAAAACAUCGUAUGAAACAUCCUACAACUCGUUUACAAUCACGUAUUGCUUGAUACAUCCAAUUUUUCAUUAUAUUUAUUAUUUAAUAUAAAACGCACGAGAAGCUAUUAAAGGCUUCUUGAAAAUUGUAUCAUCGUUAACUAAUUAGUUUCGUUUGUUUUUUCUAUAAUGAUAUUUAUAUACUCUCAUUCUCAAAAUACAAAAUACAAAAAAUUUAUUCACAAAAAGAAAAU
Molecule: RNA transcript, 2665 nt
Organism: Leptopilina heterotoma
Lineage: Eukaryota; Metazoa; Arthropoda; Insecta; Hymenoptera; Figitidae
Gene name: WD repeat-containing protein CG11141
Exons: 11
Source: RefSeq, a predicted model, not a curated record